GGGGGUGAAAUAGGCUCGACCUAGGUAAGUCGGGUAAAAGCAGCAUGUCGCGGAUGUAAGGUUGGCCGCGUUAACAAUCCUUACAAAAGAUAAACGCAAACACAGCGUUUGUUAAUCGUCUGGCUGCGGCGCCAGUAAUGGCUCCAGUAGCUGGAACGAUGCCAAUCUUCGUUCACUAAGAGCGAAGUCUCUCUCCAGGCAGCCUGUGGCCUGAAAGAGAGCCGGUAACAGGCUGGCUCCGGAGCAUUAGCCUUAUGACGCCGGGGCGAGACUCAAAAAGGCUGCGGCUUUGCUGAUCCUGUUUACCGGAGCGGUAAAGCCUAAGGCUAAAAGAUAAACUAAACAUGUAGCGGCUUUUAUCAGAUUAUCUGGGGACGGCGGUGCGAUGCCGCCCACCUCCACCA
RNAcentral lists this transfer-messenger RNA (404 nucleotides) under Candidatus Omnitrophota. Its description in RNAcentral is "VGKG01 sp016867115 Standard tmRNA". It matches the Rfam family "transfer-messenger RNA". From Rfam's summary of the family: Bacterial tmRNA, also known as 10Sa RNA or SsrA, is named for its dual tRNA and mRNA-like properties. Its role is to liberate the mRNA from a stalled ribosome. To accomplish this part of the tmRNA is used as a reading frame that ends in a translation stop signal. Lineage: Bacteria; Pseudomonadati. The record is from RNAcentral. RNAcentral also lists the same sequence under 1 other name.